GGUCUUUGUGGGGUUGGGGUGGGCGAUGGGGCGGCGGGGGCUGCCCGCCCUCACCCUGUCUCCUCUCCUCCCGCAGCCGGUUUGGUACCAAGUGCGCCCGCUGUGGCAGGCAGAUCUACGCCAGCGACUGGGUGCGGCGGGCGCGGGGCAACGCCUACCACCUCGCCUGCUUCGCCUGCUUCUCCUGCAAGCGGCAGCUCUCCACCGGCGAGGAGUUUGGCUUGGUGGAGGAGAAGGUGCUGUGCCGGAUCCACUACGACACCAUGAUAGAGAACCUCAAGCGAGCGGCGGAAAACGGCAACGGGAUCACGCUGGAGGGGGCCGUGCCCUCGGAGCAGGACAGCCAGCCGAAGCCGGCCAAGAGGGCGCGCACCUCCUUCACCGCCGAGCAGCUGCAGGUCAUGCAGGCACAGUUUGCUCAGGACAACAACCCCGACGCACAAACGCUUCAGAAACUCGCAGACAUGACGGGGACUGAGUCGGAGAGUCAUUCAG
This 495-nucleotide long non-coding RNA is filed under the name Anas platyrhynchos (mallard). RNAcentral describes it as "lncRNA (ENSAPLG00020015031.1)". Lineage: Eukaryota; Metazoa; Chordata; Aves; Anseriformes; Anatidae. The record is from RNAcentral.